This 468-nucleotide ribosomal RNA is filed under the name uncultured bacterium. RNAcentral describes it as "partial 16S ribosomal RNA". It matches the Rfam family "Bacterial small subunit ribosomal RNA", at positions 28 to 507 of the family's 1533-position model. The record is from RNAcentral.
GACGAACGCUGGCGGCGUGCUUAACACAUGCAAGUCGAACGGAAAGGCCCUGCUUUUGUGGGGUGCUCGAGUGGCGAACGGGUGAGUAACACGUGAGUAACCUGCCCUUGACUUUGGGAUAACUUCAGGAAACUGGGGCUAAUACCGGAUACGAGCUCCUGCUGCAUGGUGGGGGUUGGAAAGUUUCGGCGGUUGGGGAUGGACUCGCGGCUUAUCAGCUUGUUGGUGGGGUAGUGGCUUACCAAGGCUUUGACGGGUAGCCGGCCUGAGAGGGUGACCGGCCACAUUGGGACUGAGAUACGGACCAGAGUCCUACGGGAGGCAGCAGUGGGGAAUAUUGCACAAUGGGCGGAAGCCUGAUGCAGCAACGCCGCGUGCGGGAUGACGGCCUUCGGGUUGUAAACCGCUUUCGCCUGUGACGAAGCGUGAGUGACGGUAAUGGGUAAAGAAGCACCGGCUAACUACGUG